Acinonyx jubatus (cheetah) is the source of this 104-nucleotide small nuclear RNA. The record is from RefSeq and is a predicted model, not a curated record. NCBI's taxonomy places the organism in Eukaryota, Metazoa, Chordata, Mammalia, Carnivora, Felidae.
AUGCUGGCUUCGGCAGCACAUAUACUAAAAUUGGAACGAUACAGAGAUUAGCAUGGCCACUGUGCAAGGAUGACACACAAAUCUGUGAAGCAUUCCAUAUUAGA